Non-coding RNA from Felis catus (domestic cat), 85 nucleotides. The record is from Rfam. Lineage: Eukaryota; Metazoa; Chordata; Mammalia; Carnivora; Felidae.
GCCUGGGUGGCUCAGUAGGUUGAGCGUUCGAUUUCGGCUCAGGUCAUGAUCUCGCGGUUCGUGGGUUCAAGCCCCACGUUGGGCU